GGAGCUUGCUUUAUAUAACUUAGCAGCGAACGGGUGAGUAACACGUAGAUAAUCUAUCCUAUACUGGGGGAUAGCCCGAUGAAAGUUGGAUUAAUACCGCAUAUAGCUAUAUAGUUGCAUGAUUAUGUAGUGAAAGAUUUAUUGGUAUAGGAGGAGUCUGCGGCACAUUAGCUAGUAGGUGAGGUAAAGGCUUACCUAGGCGACGAUGUGUAGCCGGUCUGAGAGGAUGAACGGCCACAAUGGAACUGAGACACGGUCCAUACUCCUACGGGAGGCAGCAGUGGGGAAUAUUGCACAAUGGGGGAAACCCUGAUGCAGCAACGCCGCGUGAGUGAAGAAGGUUUUCGGAUUGUAAAGCUCUGUUAGCAGGGAAGAGGAAGGACGGUACCUGCAGAGGAAGCCACGGCUAACUACGUGCCAGCAGCCGCGGUAAUACGUAGGUGGCAAGCGUUGUUCGGAAUAACUGGGCGUAAAGGAUGCGUAGGCGGUUAAACAAGUUAUAUGUUAAAUAUAUAGGCUUAACCUGUAGAAAGCAUAUAAAACUGUUUAACUAGAGUGCAGGAGAGGUAAGUGGAAUUCCUAGUGUAGCGGUGAAAUGCGUAGAGAUUAGGAAGAACACCAGUGGCGAAGGCGACUUACUGGACUGUAACUGACGCUGAGGCAUGAGAGCAUGGGGAGCAAACAGGAUUAGAUACCCUGGUAGUCCAUGCUGUAAACGAUGGGUACUAGGUGUGGGUUGUGAAUAACAAUUCGUGCCGUCGCAAACGCAAUAAGUACCCCGCCUGAGGAGUACGAUCGCAAGAUUAAAACUCAAAGGAAU
Molecule: ribosomal RNA, 820 nt
Filed under: uncultured bacterium
Lineage: Bacteria
Description: bacterial SSU rRNA
Rfam family: Bacterial small subunit ribosomal RNA
Source: RNAcentral